This is a small nucleolar RNA of Entelurus aequoreus (snake pipefish), 136 nucleotides long. RefSeq annotates it as small nucleolar RNA SNORA13. The transcript has a single exon. NCBI's taxonomy places the organism in Eukaryota, Metazoa, Chordata, Actinopteri, Syngnathiformes, Syngnathidae. The record is from RefSeq and is a predicted model, not a curated record.
UGCCUUUAUGUGUUGCCCUCUCAUUUAUGUCAGUAGUGGUGAGGGUGUCAAAUAAGGCAUACAGAAUCCUUGUGGCUGCCAUUUAAAAAUGAGUUUGAUUCCUGACUCCUUUACAAGCGCUGCCACAAGCACACAA